CUCGCGCCCGCCACUGCCAAGGACCCACCUUCCUCCCUCUGCCGAACUGUUGCUGAGUUUAUUCCAUGAUGCGAUCGCCUUCUUCAUCAACAACGAUUUCCGAUCAGUGCCGAUACAGCUAUGUUUUUCACCGAGGCAUCAACACUUGCAAAUUGUUAUAACAGUUUCACUAAAUAGGCAAUGCAGAGAUAUAAAAAUUACUUGAUCUUUUUUAACUAAUAAUUUUAUAUCUUUGUAUCUAAGGUCCUGUCCAUUAUUGCUUCAGCCAAAGCGUCAUGUUGAAUGUAUUCUUACAAUGACUAAAACUGUGACAAGGCAAGCUUUUGAAGAGAUAGUGAAUACUUUAGAAAUCCGAUACGAUAAUGUCUAUUAGCUUGAACAAUAACAUGUAGUUCAACGAAAGCUUCAUGUUCAAUGUAUUCUUGCAAUGGCUACAACUGAGACAAACCAAGCUUUAGAGCAGAUAGUGAAUACCUUAGAAAUCCAAUAUGAUCAUCUCUGUUACACUGAACAACAACAUGUAGGCUAUUUUCUCUCUUGCUAUCUUGAUUGCAGAUGUAAUGGUGGUCCUUUUUUUAAGAUGAUAAAUGUGCUGAUCAUUGUCCAUAGCCAAGCUACAAUGUGCUUCACUGAAACUAUUUCUGCUAAUCUUUGUUAGACUGAACUAUAACAUGUAGACUAUUUUCUCUCCUGCUAUCUUGAUUGCAGCUCUAAUGGUGGUCCUUUUUUUUUUAAGAUGAUAAAUGUGCUGCAUGUAGGCUAUUUUCUCUCCUGCUAUCUUGAUUACAGCUGUAAUGGUAGUCCUUUUUUUUUAGAUGAUAAAUGUGCUGAUCUGUCCAUAGCUAAGCUACAAUGUGCUUCACUGAAACUGUUUGUGCUAAUACAAUUCCUGUAAUCUGUAAUGGUGGUCCUUUUUUUAGAUGAUAAAUAUGUUGAUCAUUGUCCAUAGAUAAACUACAAUGUGCUUAACUGAAACUAUUUCUGCUAAUGCAACAAUGUGCUGACUAUUGUCCAUAGCUAAAGUACAAUGUGUUGCUAAGCACUAUUCAUGCAGGAUAUGUUCAAAUACAUGUAUGUUUACUUAGUUGAUAGAUACCACUGACCACAAUUUAUACACCAUAUAUGCAAAUACAUGUAUGUUUACUCUAUCCAAUAUGAUAAUUUCUGCUACACUAAAACUAUUUCUACUGAUACAAUUCGUCUAAUCAUUUACCAAAUAAAACCAUUUGACCCUUUCCAGUUUAAUAACAGGGAAAAAAAACUGGUGAGCAUAUGUCCAAACAUGUCUAUUUCUACUGAUACAAUACAUGUAAUGAUUUAAUGAAUUAAACCAUUUGAUCUUUUCCUGUUUAGUGACAGGGAAAAAAAAUGCUGCUGAGCACUAUCCAUACUGCAUAUCUCCAAAUACAUGUCUGUUUACUCCAGCCUCAUAUAUAUAUAUAUAUACAUAUACAUAUACAUAUACAUAUAUAUAUAUAUAUAUGUUAUGUGCAUAUAGAAUUUCCAUUUUAGAAUUUACGGUUUACCUUAAUAGUUUGAUCCUUUACUGUUUAGUAACAGGGGAAAAAAUGCUGAUGAGCACUGUUCAUACUAUAUAUCUCCAAAUACAUGUCUGUUUACUCCAGCCUCAUCUAUAUAUAUAUAUAUAUAUGUUAUGUGUGUGUAGAAUUUCCAUUUUAGAAUUAACGGUUUACCUUAAUAGUUGAUAGAUACCACAGACUACUAUCUAUAUGAAUUUACGGUUUACCUUAAUAGUUUGAUCCUUGCCUGUUUAGUAACAGGGGAAAAAAAAUUGACGCUGAGCACUAUCCAUACCGCAUAUCUCCAAAUACAUGUCUGUUUACUCCAGCCUCAUCUAUAUAUGUCUUAUGUGUGUAUAGAAUUUUCAUUUUAGAAUUUACGGUUUACCUUAAUAGUUGAUAGAUACCACAGACUACUAUCUAUAUAUCACAUGUCCUAAUACAUGUAUGAUUGCUCCAGUAAGUUCCAAAUGAUAGCUGGCUACUGUUCUAUGCUACUUAGUUAUAUACAUGUCAUCAAGUCGUAGAUCUCGCACGCGACGGCGUGUGCGAAGCCGCUCUCUUUCACCUCCAAUGAACAUGCCAGCUAUCAACUAUCCAGAACCUGCUACAACACCUGUUUCUAUUUCAUAUGUACAACCAGACUACCAGGAAGUACAUAAUGCAAUAACAAGGGAUUAUUUCUGUCCCAUUGUACCACCGCAUAUAGCUACACAGAAUCGCAAGAAAAGAAAACGUUCGAACUACUUCAAAGCUCUAGCGUAACAAGCUUCAGCAACUGGGAUACCGUUCUAUUCAUUACAAGAUACAUUUGGAUCAUUGAAAGAAUAUACAAAUUUCCUCAAAG
This is a long non-coding RNA of Phragmites australis (common reed), 2367 nucleotides long. RefSeq lists it as uncharacterized. The record is from RefSeq and is a predicted model, not a curated record. NCBI's taxonomy places the organism in Eukaryota, Viridiplantae, Streptophyta, Magnoliopsida, Poales, Poaceae. The transcript is spliced from 5 exons.